GCACUGCUGAGGAGUCCCAUAUUAGGACGAAACAGCUGUCCAAUGC
Molecule: non-coding RNA, 46 nt
Filed under: Schistosoma haematobium
Lineage: Eukaryota; Metazoa; Platyhelminthes; Trematoda; Strigeidida; Schistosomatidae
Source: RNAcentral